AUGUCAGACCAGAGUGACAGCCAGAACAGGUCAGAAGAGCAGAUUGACAUGAGUCAGGGCACUAGUCCCUCCAGCACUUUAGAUGAAGGCAGCAGAAGCACUCCUAGCAACCUGCCUAAGGCUGCUACAAGGCAAAGGAAGAAGAGAACCUCAGACUCCGAAGAUGAGGAUUAUAGAGCUGAAGAGGAUGAAGCUACUUCCAAGAAAGUAGUGCUCAAAAAGGAGUAUGGCUCAGCUAAGAAUACAAAGCCAGGCAUGAAGAUUAAAAGGCCUGCAGGAAGACAACCAAUGUCCAAAGCCAGAGCAUCAACUCAAGCUGCCCCCAAGGCCAAGUCUGCACCAAAGAGGAAUACCAGGAGUAUUCCAGCUGCUGAGAAGAACAAGGCCCCACUGCCUGAGGUUGCUGAGGAGGAAGAUGAAGAAGUACAAGUUCCGAGGAAGCUCAAGCCUAAGAUACCAGACCACAAUGAUGCCCAUCCUGUGGCUGAAGACAUGAACAUCAGAAAAGAUUCAGGAUUGAGGCUAUGGAGGAUGGCAGAUCCAUAUGCCACAAGGAGAAGAACUGCUGUUUAUUACAGGUUCCAUACAAAGGAACAACAGGACUUCUAUGAGACAAUCUUGUUGGACAAAAAGCCCAUUGUGUGUGAUAUGAGGUGGGUCGACUGGACCUACAUGAAGGAAAAUGAAGAGCACUAUCCAGGAGUACAAGACAGUUUUGUUGCUUGUGGAGUUGCAGAUUUUGUUGGGCAAAAGCUCACAAACUGGAAUGAUGAACUUAUCAUGCAAUUCUACUACACAGCACACUUCUAUCCAGAUGGAAGGAUAGUUUGGAUGUAUGAAAGUACAAGGUACCAGUCAACUGUUGAGGAGUGGGCAAAUCUAAUAAAUGCCCCAAAGGAAAAUGAUGAUGAUCUGGAUGUAUAUGCCAAGAAGAAAAUGGGACACAAUACCAUGGCACAUAUGUACAAGGAGAUCCCAGACAAAGCCCUAGAGACUUUCUCUUUUGGAUCGGUCCACUUUCUUCUGUCAGGGCUGCCUACAAUCAACUGGAUCCUAAGGCACACCCUAUUGCCUAAGUCAGGUGACCUCAACAUGAUCAGAGGGCAUGCAAUCAAUAUGUUGCAUUUGUUUGACGUGCCACAGAAAUUCAAAGUCAUGAGCCUUAUAGUGGAAACCAUUAAGAGGACUGCAGCAGAUCAUAAGAGGAGUUGUGGAUAUGCCCCUUAG
This 1227-nucleotide ribosomal RNA is filed under the name Triticum aestivum (bread wheat). RNAcentral describes it as "partial small subunit ribosomal RNA". Lineage: Eukaryota; Viridiplantae; Streptophyta; Magnoliopsida; Poales; Poaceae. The record is from RNAcentral.